This 459-nucleotide ribosomal RNA is filed under the name uncultured Treponema sp. RNAcentral describes it as "partial 16S ribosomal RNA". It matches the Rfam family "Bacterial small subunit ribosomal RNA", at positions 341 to 792 of the family's 1533-position model. The record is from RNAcentral. Lineage: Bacteria; Pseudomonadati; Spirochaetota; Spirochaetia; Treponematales; Treponemataceae.
ACGGAAGGCAGCAGCUAAGAAUAUUCCGCAAUGGACGAAAGUCUGACGGAGCGACGCCGCGUGGAUGAUGACGGUCGGAAGAUUGUAAAAUCCUUUUAAGCAUGAAGAAUAAGUAGUGUAGGUAAUGACAUUGUGGUGACGGUAGUGCUUGAAUAAGCAACGGCUAAUUACGUGCCAGCAGCCGCGGUAAUACGUAAGUUGCGAGCGUUGUUCGGAAUUAUUGGGCGUAAAGGGCAUGUAGGCGGAUAUGCAAGCUUGGUGUGAAAGGCGGGAGGUUAACUUCCGAACUGCGUUGAGAAAUGCAGAACUAGAGUGACUGAGGGGCAGGCAGAAUUCCAGGUGUAGGGGUGAAAUCUGAAGAUAUCUGGAAGAAUACCAAUGGCGAAGGCAGCCUGCCAGCAGAUGACUGACGCUGAGGUGCGAAAGUGCGGGGAGCAAACAGGAUUAGAUACCCUGGUA